Molecule: long non-coding RNA, 6608 nt
Organism: Lagenorhynchus albirostris (white-beaked dolphin)
Lineage: Eukaryota; Metazoa; Chordata; Mammalia; Artiodactyla; Delphinidae
Exons: 2
Source: RefSeq, a predicted model, not a curated record
GGCGGCCUUUCCCAAAGACUCUCUGCAUUGCCCAAUGGAGGCAGACCCCAAUCCCGGAGAGGUGUCUUGGGACACCCUGGAGAGGAAAGAGGCCGCCUAUGAAGGGGGCUCACGGUGACAUCAUCCCGAAUGUUCCAGUGGCAACACAGAAGAUUCAGGUAACAGGACAAAAUCAAAUAGGAACUGAGAUCAGAAACUACACCUUAGUUAAAAUGCAAACUUUUAUUGAAGAUUUUAUGCAGCAGAAAGGAGAGAGGGGAAUGAAUUGGCUCUUGUGGGAUUUUUUGUUUGUUUGGAAUGAGCUCUUAUUAUUCACAGCUGCCAGAGUGCACCAACUCGCUGGUAUCUCUAAACAUCUUAAACUCUAUAACAUUCUUAAAGUUCCUGUAAUUAGGAGGAGUAGCCUGUAGAAGUAAAUCUCUGGACUCAAGGUCAAAUGGACCCUCCUCAGGGCUGGAAAUAAAGAGGGGGUCAUUAGGGUCACUACUGUCACGGAAAUGAUAAACCUAUUGGGCUUCUAAGGGUUAAGAAUUCUAAGUAAUAUAUGUUAUUAAAACUUCUAGAAAUAAGGAAACGUCUACACGCAAGGAAAAUAGAUGUGUUUUUGGGUACGAAACGUAUGAGGUGUGGAGAUUUUUUUUUUUUUAAGUAAAAAGAAAAUAAAUUUGUCCUAAAGUAAAACUGGUUAUUUCAGAAUGGGAAAUAGGAAAAUAAAGGACAAAAUGGGGUAUACAGCUGGGAAGAGAGAGAGAAAAAGAAUUUUAUCUUGUGUAGUGAAGUUGGGUAAACUCGGAUCAUUAUUAUAAGGUGUGUGUGGUUUUUUUUUUUUUAACCUAAGCUUUAAUAGCAAUAGUUUGCUUAUGUAAUUUUCUUUCAUCAGCUGAAAGGACAAAGUUUUCUUGGAGUAUUGGUAUGUUUCUGAUAGAUUACAGAAUGCUUUUCUUUACCAUAAGUAAUCUGGCUAGAAAGCAAAGGUUUUGUGUUUUAUUGGAAGAAAUCAUGCUAAAACUUCUUUAUGGAUAUUCUUGUAUGGAUAUAUGUUAUUGAUAUGUGUUCCAGAAAUUAUAUGAAAUUCCUAGAAAUCUUAUAUGUAUGUUAUCAUUUGUAAUUCUCAUUAUCAUCUUAAAAUGUUGUAUGUCACAGAAAUAACCAAAUUUCCUUGCCAACUGCAUUAUAAUGAAUUCUCGUUAGAUAUUUAAUCAUGAUCAUUUUUAGGUCUUUUGUCAUUUACAGUUAUUGUUUUACUCUGACGCUUUUUACAGAUGUGUUUCAUAUUCAGAGAUUUCAUGGAGAGGUCUCUGACAAGUAUUCUGGAAUAUAGGUUUCUGGUAAUGCUCAGAUCACACCACUGACCUGGGUAGGAGUAUACGUGACACUAUAUUCAUGAAACUGCCAACCACAGGUCAAGGUCAAUGAGAAUUAAUUACCUGGGAGCGAAUGAACUGACGAGGAUCAUUAUAAUUCUGUGACUUUUUUUGAAACAUUGUUGGUUCUUUAACCUUUUGUUUUUUCCAGAUUUAGGGAAUCCUAUUCUCUUAAGCUAUCUAUGAUUUACAACGAUUUGGUAAAGUAUAUCUUUGUGAACAAAGGUGAAACAUUUAUCUUUUUCUCCCUACAUGAUCCCUCCAGAAUUAGAAAACUCUCAGUGAGUAUUCUUAUUUUCAUGGCAAUAUAGUUAUUUGCAUAAGUUCAAUAAGAUUCUAUUCUCCUUGUAAUAGGACACCAUUGGAAACAUUAUUUAAUUCCCAAGACUUUGACUGGAAGGUAUUAUUUGAGAAUGUGCAUAGACUCAGAUAUGACCAGACAGUUUGGAAAACCAACCUAUAGCCUGCUUACAGGGUUCCUGGCAGCUUUAUCAGAAACACCUUUUAUUAAAAACCUGAUGCAAGUAUGUGCGCCAUGUAGGCCUAACUUGGGGAACCCACCUGCAUCGCCACUUCCUGAAAUGAGACACAGCCUCUACUUGAACUGACCUACUCUCUGGACUAAGAGAGGGUUCAAUGAGAUAAAGACAACCCAGCAACUCAGGACAGGUUCAAACCUUCUUACACCAGGUGGCCAAGACAAUAAAGUAGUUCACAAUGUCACCCAAAUCUUUGACCAGGUUCCUCGGGCCCCCAAGGUCACUGACUUAGUUUUAUUGCAGGACACUUCAAAUUUGGGACAGUGGAUACAGACGAGAUUUCAGACUGCUGUCUGUGUAUUUAUUAUAGGAUUUGGGACUAGAAUCCUAUUUAGAUAUGUGCUUUCUGAGUUACAAUGCACCCUACCCCUGACUUAGCACAUCAGCUACGGAGGCAGUUACAUUCUCACCACCCUCACCUUUGACUCUGAUGGCUUGGCAUCACAGGGUGGGUGGUAGGGUGAGCCCUAACAGGUGGGGUUUUUCCUUUUUGUAACGCAAAUGCAUAACUUAAGCUUUGAUUGCCCAGGCCCCCACUUCAGAUAGGGCAUCAGCUUCAAGGAAGGCUACCUGGGAAAAGCACAUUGCUAUUAGCCACGCCAGAUACAGAGCCAGGCCACCUUCCCCACUGAGGUGGCUUUGUUUGGAAGAUCUUAUUUAAUUGCAGCGACUGACCAUUGGGGCACUUGUUUUAUUUUCUCUUUCUGCACUUUAAAUUCCUGCUUUCAUGUUUUAAAUUCACCAGUAAAGAGUGAGCCUAGGAAAACCCCAGGCCCCCACGCCAAGCCCCAGUAAAAGUAGGACCCCAGGCCUGUGCUCACAGUAUCCUUCUCUCCCUCCCUCCCUCCCUCCCUCCCUCCCUCUCUCUCUCCACCUCUCUGUCUCUCUAUCCCCCUGACCUCGCAGUGUGGCACCAGGUGUGCUGUGUAAUUUCCAGGUCCUGUAAGUAAUAAACCUUUAGUUUUUCAAGUUUCCCAAUAGUUAGUGCUGAGGGGUGUCUUGCCAUCAUAAUGAGAACCACAAGGGCCGGUUCAGCCACAGUGUUGGUUAUUGACAGGCUGGGGCCAGCACACAACAGCUAUUAAGAUUCCUUUUUGGUAUUUGAAUGAUCAAAUGACUAAUGUUAUGUGGCACAUGUCAUGGGUUUGCACAACGUUUGGCACAAAGCAAGAAUGUGAUUGUGGUCCACCCAAGCCUCGCUGCAGAGGGGUGGUCUAAACAAAUUCUGGAAUAAACAGUUUCUGCUCUUUUUGACAUUCUGUUUAAGGGCAUUCUUUUCAGAUGUGGGAGUGCAUUCUGUUUCGUUAGCAGAACUGACUUUGUAUUUCAGACUUUGGGAGGAAGGUGCCUGGGUGUUUUCAUAGUAAAGGUUACUAUUAUUAGUUUUGCAAAUGGUUGACUGAUAAACAGAGAAAAGGAUGAAAUUUGUGGGAUAUGCUAACACCUACAGAUGCAUCCGUCUGGAAGGAAGGGUUGAAGUGGGGUGCGGACAACUCAACAUUUGAAAAGAUAGCUUUUUCACAUGUCUAGCAGGAAUCUUCGUGCUGAUACUAUUAGACUGAACCAUAUUAAAUUACCAAUAUUUGACUGUCUUUACCCUACAAAAUGGCAGCUCCAUACGGCUCAACCAAAUAUGUUUUUCAAAAGAGGGAGCAGUAAUAUACAGAUCCAGACCCAUAUACAAAGCCUGCCUUUCUGCCACCCUUUCUUUCCUCUCUGACUUCUUUCUUUCCACUUUCUGAUAAAAACUUUAUUUAGUGCCAACUUUGUUUCAGGCUUUAAUUUUAGGAAUAAUUUAUUUGAUUGGUUUCUUCUGUAUGUUCCCAACUUAACUUUAAUUUUACUUCUAUUGACAACUUCAUGGUACUCUGACACACUGCCGGCACAAGAGCUGGCUCAUGAAGGUACAGGGUAUCGGGAGAGCCAAUGAAGAUUCUGGUUUUGGUCUGGGACACGUCUCCAGUGAUGGCGCUCCUGCUUUGCCAUUUAGGUUUUGAGUCACUUGCGGUGUGAGACCUCAAGUUACGAAAGUAUGUAUGUCACAUUUACUGACCACACUCCGUUAAAUCUGCCCUUUCCUCUGCAGUCCUUUAUUUGAGUUUUUCAACAGAGGACUAAAAAAAAUGAAUGGAAGCAAUUUAAUUCCUAUGUUUCCCUGGCAAAGAUAAGAACAUAAAGAUUCCAGGGGAAGAACUGAAUGGUAACAAAGCUAAUAUCAAUAUUGAAGAGAAAUGUACAGUUUGACUCGGAACAAGUGUGCUUGUCUGUAAUUUUGAAAUUAAUGGCAAGAAAAGUGAGGUUGCGUGGAAAAGAUGGGCACUUACGUGAAUGCUUCAAGGAAGAGUGGGGACAGAUGAGGAGGAGCAGUGGGGCAGUUGGUGAUGGAGCAGAGACGUGUAUCCAGGCGCAGGUGUUGGGCACUCAGAUGUGACCCUGAGGCAGCUCGCCCGAGGAGGGGAGACCAUCCUACCCCUCCUCUGCCUCCUCUUUUUUUUGCCAGCGUGUGAAGUUGCGUCAAUAGCAGAUUUAUAUUCUCCAUACAAAUACUUUCAACCCCCGAGUCUUAGAAAACGGGGCAUCCUAACUCUCCACAUGCAGGGUCCAGGGCACGUGGACACAACCUCCUGGCAUUUCUGUCCUGGCAGCAUGGCUCCACUCGCCAGCGUCUGGAGGCAGGUGUUUCAUUGCACCGCUGUCGCUAGAUUACCACUCUCAUCAUCAGAGUGACCAGCUCUUCUCUACUUCUGCUAACGUUUUAAGGAAGUACGUUGGUCAGGGGCGCCCACGCUGACCAGCCACAUGGCCUGGGUGCCUUCAGGCUGUGGGCCACUGUGGGCAAGCCUGGGAUGUGAACUCGGGCUGCGACCCUGGGGCCGUUAAUGGCUGUCACGUGUCAUUGGAAUCGCAGUAGCAGCUGUUUAUAGAGAGAUGCUCCCAGUUGAAUCACUAUGUACUAAAUUUGUAGUUACCCAUCUGGAUAACAGAACAAGCUAUUGGCAGGAAGAAGAGGAAAAUUACACAAAUUUAACAGGGCAAAGUACGCAUGCCGCAUAUACUUUUCGCUCUGAAAUGCAAGAUUCAGUAAAGACGAUUUCCACGUUUGGAGCUUGGCCUCCGGUGGGUUUAGCAUCACCCUCCUCUGAUGUGGUUCUUGUUGGUAGCACUCUGCUCCCCAGUCUCCGACUUUUCAGUGUUUCUCUCUGGGUGGCUCCGUCAAGCUCCCAUCGUGCUGUAGCAUCUUCCUGGAAAUGUCUCCUUUUUGACCAAGACUCAAGCUGCUGCUGCCCUUUGUCUGCUCUCCUGCUGCAGCCUUUCCUUUAUAUAAUGAUCUUCUGACGUCCAACAGUCUCCUAUUAUCCAGAAAGGACCCUGCUUUUGUAAUUUACAAAUAUUUACUAGCCACCAAGAAAACGCCAAACUUUCCACUAAAGAACUGAAACUUUGCCUUUGGACCUGGAGAGCCACACACAUGAUGGUAUGACAGAAGUACCCGGGCACGUCAAAUCACAUUCCAUCCUCAAUGAAUAAGCCCUGGGUGACUGAAAUACAUCACAGAUGGAUGAGAAAAUAUGAAAACAAAAAUACCUUCCUAAGUGAAACCAUACUGAUUUACCUUCUGUGAAAUAAAUAAAGUAGGAUGUUUCUUUCAAAGAUAUGGAAUGAAUCCAUGCAGUUUGCUAUAGUUGUUUUAAAGUAAACUAUAUUUUAAAAAUUUUGCGGGGGGGAUAACUAAGUUGACCAUUUUUCUUUCUGAAUGGAUAACAAAUAUUUUGCUCUUCAAAAGAGGAAAAUUAAUUAGGAAAAUCAAUAAGCAAGCCAUAGAACGGGAGAGAAUAUUUACAGUACAUAUAUCAGACCAAAAGCUUGUGUCUCAAUAAUAUAAAGAACUACUAUAAUCUAUCAUAAAAGACAAACAACCAAAAAUGGGCAGAAUAGUUGAAUAGGCACCUCACAAAAGAAGAUACGUGAAUGGCAAUAUGAAAGGGAAAAUUGCUCAAUAUCAUUAAUCAUUAGGGAAAUGCAAAUUAAAACCACAAUGAGAUACUUCUAUACACAUCAGAAUGUCAAUAACUUAAAAAGAUUGACAAUACAGCGUUGUCAAGGGUUUGAUCAUAACUCUCAAAUAUGGCCAAUAGAGUGUAAAAUGGAAUAGUCUGGGAAAAUGUUUGGCACUUUUUCAAAAAGUUAAACAUGCAUCUUCCCUGUGUCCCAGAAAUUCCACUCUCAGAUAUUCAUCUAAGAGAGAGAACAUACAGGUCCACAAAACACCCCAUGUGAGCAUGGUCAUCGAAGCUUUGUUCGUAGUAUCAAGAACAAGAACAAGCCCUGAGGUCCGUCACCAGGAAAGCGGAGGCGCUGUGGUGUGUGUAUACAGGGGAUACUUCUCACCGAUACAGGCGUACGCUUCUGAUACGCGUAGUAACGUUAAUGGAUCUCACCUAUUAUGCUGAGUGAAAGAAGCCAGACGGAAAAGAGUACACAGUCUAUGACAGAAAUUACAUGAAGUUCCAGAAGAAUUAAAAAAAAACUAUGACAAGAGAAAUCAGACGGCAUCAGGGGCCUGUCUGGGUAGGGACAGAGGCACCUUCUGGGGUCGUGGACACCUUCUGUCACCCAUGUGGGUUCCUUGAGUGAAUGCAUUUGGAAAAGAGAAUGUGCUUCUAUAUGUAAUGAGGUCUCAAUAAAAUGUUUCCUAAAAGAAAAA